CAGGCGUGUGCCUGUUACAGUAAUUUUUUUAAAAUAAUUUGUAAGUUACACUUAAUAAAGGUAUUGGGCAGUAGCUCUCAGCUUUAUUGGGAUCCUUACCAGGUUUUACUAUUGCUAUUAUUUUUGUUCUCUUAAAUAAAGCUGAUAAUUUCCAGUUUCCAAAAUAGUGGUAACAAACUUCACUAGCCAUUGAAUAGUUUUUGGGCUACAGAGUUUUAAGAAUCCUGGGCAUCUCAUUCAUGCCUCUGGCUUUACCUUCCUUUAUGCAUCUCGUGUACAGUAAAAGGUUGGGAGAAGGAAGGGGAUGAUGCAAUGGAGCGUUUCUUUGCUUUUAAAUGUAAUUUCACUUGUUUUGUCAGAGCCUUAGACAGGGCAACAAUAUGACUGGCUAUUGCUUCCAGUCUAAUGUGGAUUUUGGGUCUUGAAACUUCAGUGCUUCAGCCCAGUCAGCAUAAUGGAACCCAGGCCCUUCCUACUUGAAUGUGUGAAAUUAAGAUUUUCCAUUGUAUGUAUUGUUUUUUCUCUUUGAGCCUUGUCCAGAGAUUGUAAGAGCUCAGUGGCAGUCAUAGAAUCACCAUUUUCUUUAAAUUUGUUAUAAAAAUGAUCGCUGUCUUCAUUCUACCAUGGUAUGUAUUCUUUUUAAAAUCCUCUUGGGAUACAUCUCUUAGCAGCUCCUUUUAUUACACCCAGGAAUCUCACAUAAUUUUUUCUUGUGGGUUUUAUCCAGCUUAUAUUCAAAUCAGUUUGUUUAGCAAAGGAGAUCCAGUCAGUUUUAUUAAAGUUCCACCUGGGCUUUGGAAUUGAUUUGAUGAUUGGAAUUUGAAUUCCAACUGUAUAUAAAAUUAGCCUAUGAUGAGUGUGUGGAAAGUUGUCAAGAACUUUGCGAUGUAUAGGAGGGCUGGGUUGUUGGGAGCUCUGUGUCAUUAACGCCUCAUGCUUCCUGAGGCUGGGGGGCAUGGCGACUGCUCGCAGGUGGCCACAGUGAUGUUGGCAGCAAGAGCGGGCUGAGCGGGGACCGAACUGCAGGUGGCUGCGGCAGUGUCAGCAGCAGUGAGGGGGGAGCAGUGGUGAGCGCUGAGUGGCAAUUGGCAACUGCCCUCAGAAGCUGCUGGCAGCGGCGGCCUAUCUCAGGGGGUGUGUGGCUAACCUUAGGGGGUGCAUGUGCAUGUGUGUGCACCCCCUAUGCAUUGCUAAUGCUCUGCAUCAUGAGACACAGAUCAGGUAUAUAGUCUUGUUGCCAGCAGGGUUAAGUGGAAAGUAACAAUGUCUUUCAUGUCGUAGACUAAUACAAGGUCCUCCCCCUCCAUCCAAUCUAGAACUUUAUUCCUAUUUUGGUCAUUGUGGUGAUAUCCCCAUAAACUGUGUUGACUAUUAAAGUCACCUGAGAUGAUGCUUGGGUGAUAUAAGGGAGGUAAGGCAAGGGUUGGCCAUACAAUAGCUGGUGGUUUAUGUACAUUAAUUAUUGUCAUGUCAGAAAUUUGGACUGAGAUUAUGUAAAUGUCUUCAGUACAGCUUGUUGAUGUGAUUUUAUAGUUGUUGAUGUUAUUUUUUAGUGUAAAUUGCCACAUCAUAGGUGGAAUGAUUAACAGAUACAGUUAGCCUGAAUCCAGAAACUCUCCCCUUAUUUUGUAGCUGAUGGUUAUUGGCAGUAUGAGUUUCUUGAAGGGCAAGGACAUCAAUGAAAUUUUCUGUCAAAAUUUUGGACAAAUAUUCAUUUUUGGCUCUGCUUAUCCCCUCAAUAUUGAAUUGUCAGAUGCACAGUGAGUUCCCAAUAUUAUGGGUCUGAAAGCUCUGCAAAGAUCUGUUGAUGUUUAUUUUGUUGACCUUACAGAAAUCUAUGCAGAGCCAUAGCAUUCUUUCUUCAGGACCGUCACAAGAGGGCUCCGCCACUCACUUAAUGACUCCUGAAUGAUGCCUCAGGCAAGCAUUUGGCAUACCUCCUCUUUCACUGCUGUCUGUAGUCACUGGAGAAUGCAUCUCCAACCUUCUCUUACUACCUUGUUGGGGUUUGUCUCUAUGUGGUGCUCAAUCAGUUGGGUGAACCCAAGUUACCCCGUGAGGACCUUUGGGAACUCCUGCACUACUUGCUUUAGCUUAGUCUGCUGGGUCUCAGAUAGCAGUGCAUCAAUGGUCCUGGGGAGGACCUUUCUUGUUCUUCUACCUGGGGCUUGCUGGUCCAGGUAGGAUGUCAUGAAUUAAGCCUCCCUUUCUCUCCACUUCAACAUAUUAAUGUGGUAUAUCUGAUGUGUCUUUCCUUCUAGGCUGCCACACUUCAUAGCCCACUGGCCUUCUCUUCUGUUUGACCUCACAUGCAUGCGUCAUGCCCUGCUGCCCAGAAUUGACAUCAAGAGGCUCCAGGAUCCACUGGUCGAUCCCAAUCAACUGAUUGGUGACCACUGCAAUGCGCGAACAUUAGAAGGGCCAGCAUUCUAUCCCAGCAUCUAGGAUCCUUCCCUAUGAUUUUUGUGGCAGGCUUGCUGGUAACAGUCCAGCACAUAGGACUCGGAGAAGCUUGAUUGUGAUUGGUGAAGCAUUCCCACCAAUCAGGUAUCUGCUGGAGAGGGGCUUGCCCUGCCCCCACCAAGGGUGAGGUGAAGAGCUCGAACCUGGUUGAAGACUGCACUCCACCUCAUCCCAAUUGGUCCAUUUACAGUCUGGGGGCGAAGCCUCCAGAGGGAAUAAAAGAGAGGCAUACUCAGCAUAUGGGCGGCUGCGAUGAGGGAUAAAGAAGAGAGCGGGCAAGGAAGAGCUGGCCAGCAGGGAGGAACAGUUGCCCUGAAGAGCCUGAAGACCUCUUUGCCAGAUGAGAGUGGCAAGUGACUGCCUCCCCAGCCCUGCCACUAGGAGCACAGUGUUGGUGCACAGCUCGGUGCAUGGUGCAAGACUCUGGGAGCUGCAUGAGGCAGCGUGGGUCUCCAACCCCUGACACGAGGCCAGGCACUCGGUGUAUGGCGGGUCUGGGAGCAGACCAAGACCCUGGGAGCCCUCAAGGGGCUCAGGUUUCCCACCCCUGGUACAGGCAGUAGGUAGAAGGCCGGUGUACAAGCAGUCCAGGAGCGGACUGAGCCCCCCAGAGCUGCACAAGAUGGCCAGGGUCUCCAACCCUGACCAAAAGGAUAAAGCCCUUGGUGCACAUGAUGGUGCACAGGGCCCUGAGCAGGCCAGCAGCCUAGAGGGAGCCUAAGGCAGCUGGGACCUUGGCAAAAGGGGCAGCAACUUGCCCAGGGAGAUGACCACCCACCAGGCCCCUGGAGGCAUGAGUUACUGGGGAAAGGGAUUCCCACAGGGGAAGGAAAAUUCACCAAGGGCCAGUGAAGCUGCCCCCCUGAAGGGAAGCCCAGGGAGGAGAAGGCUUCCUGGGUCUAGAGUUUUUUUCACUUGAGAGCUAUUUCAGUUGGGUUGUGGAAGGGUCUGAAGGGCACUGGGGAAUCUCUUCCUUGACACUCGAGUGCAGUCACUGCUCCAGAACAGCCUGGGCUCUGGGUGUCCCUGAAAGAUGGGGGUUAGUAUUGGUUGUUCUUGCGCCUUAUAUUUUGUAAGUUAGCGCCUCAUAUUUUGUGUAUUUGUAUUUCAUGAUUGUGAGCUUAUAUUUUAGCAGAGUUUAAUUUGCCAUAAUCUUUAUUGAAACCCUUAUACUCGUUCUUUCAUAUUGCUUACCUAUGUUCUGAGUGGUGGUAAAGAAUUAUAUGUGUAUAUAUAUUGCAUAUAGUUCAUGUUGUAUAUAUCUGUUUAUAUUUAUAUCUAUUUCUGUUAGGGUUUAUGGUAUCAAUACAUUUGUACAUCGUUAAGUUACUGGAGUGUCUUGGUUAGCUCUAUAGAGGAAGGAGGGAAACUGUGCUCAGCCUGCAGUUUCUACCCACAGCACACCUGCCCUGCUAACAAUCCCCUUCAAUUGGAGAAGGGAGUACAUACCCGAGUAUACCCGGGCUACAUUUUCUUUAUCAUUGCUUUCAAGGUUCCACUGCACCGCUCUACUAAUCCAUCCGUUUGAGGGUGAUAAAUGGAGAUCUGCAGCCUCUUAAUGUGCAGUAUUUUGCAGACUUCGCAGUACAUGAAAUGAAAUCUAUGAGAGCCCAUAAACUCAGUUGCCUACAUGAAAUUAUUUUUCCCUCCAUUAUUUCAAAGCUGAAAAAAAUGUUACAGUCGGAACAAAAUUUGAAUUUAUACUGACCUACCUGGAUAGCAGAUGUAUAACGGCCAAAAUAAUUUCCUAUUUCAGACACUAACAAGAUGGAUACUUAAAAGAACUACAGAGAAAGUUCCAACAAGAAUUAUUCAGAUUGUACAGGAAAAUAAAUUCGCAAAAGUAACUAAGAAAAUUUUUCUACAGAUCCAGUAUAGAAACAGAAUUGACAGCACCACAUUUGGUAUAGACAUUACAAAUAGAUGACUCUAAAGAAAUUAGAAAAAAAUCUGCAUUUGAGUUGAGAGAAAAAUAAAAUGAUGAAAAUGAUAUGGAGGACUAAAGACUUUCUGCGUUUAUGGUGGGAUUGCCUUAUUUCAGAGGAAAACAAAUAGAUUUUUCAAUUCUGAUUAAGUUACUUGCAGAACCAUCAGUGAUUCUAUCUAUUUACAGUCCAAAAGGGUAUUAGUGACAUGAGGGUGUGUUGCUAACACAAUUACUAUAAAGCAGUCCAGUGUAUGACAACUCGAUUGAGGAAAGGAGAAAGCCCCAGCACUAUUGGCAUGGAAAAGGGCAGACUGAAUUAAAUACUUUUUUUCCCCAUUUUUGGAAUUUGAAUAGAACAUCUACAUAGAUAAUGCCAAGAAGUUGACCAGCAAAAAUGGAACUUUUCAAUGGAACAAAUAAGGAUUAAAAAAUAAACGUAUUUUUUUAACACUUA
Long non-coding RNA from Alligator mississippiensis (American alligator), 4844 nucleotides. RefSeq lists it as uncharacterized. The record is from RefSeq and is a predicted model, not a curated record. The transcript is spliced from 2 exons. Lineage: Eukaryota; Metazoa; Chordata; Crocodylia; Alligatoridae.